RNAcentral lists this long non-coding RNA (1971 nucleotides) under Mus caroli (Ryukyu mouse). RNAcentral's name for it is "lncRNA (MGP_CAROLIEiJ_G0005054.1)". The record is from RNAcentral. Lineage: Eukaryota; Metazoa; Chordata; Mammalia; Rodentia; Muridae.
AGGGCCUACCGGAUGAUUGGCACCGAGUGCUGGGUUAGCCUCCGGACUCCUGCUAGGCUCCCUGGGUGCUGAGUGAAGGAGCGCCACGUGGCUCCUGGCCACCUCUGGCUAGCCUGGUUGUACCCAAGCUUCAAGGUGUUGAAUCCCAUGGAGUGACGACAUUCUAUUCCUCAAAAUCCGACCUUCUCACAUUCUGCCUCUCUUCCAUCAGACUGUUCAAACAAUGGACCGGAAGAAAUUGCAGUUUCCCCAGGACUCUCAUUCUGGAAGAAGAGAAAGAUUAAAGCCUGGACCAGCCAGAGAAGAAACUUAUCUCCUGGAACUUUUAAACCACUGUGCCGAAGACACUCCAGUCCUCCACUUACACUGUGACCUUGGGCCAGGACCCUGAAGAUGCACUUGGAAAGUUACUGGGCCUCUCUGUCUCUGUUCCUAGUGUGCUGAUAUUAAAUUAAUUUCCCUCUUCAUAAAUGUUGACAAUGUGCCUUUGAGAUUCUUUUCUUUUGAUCUAGCACAGACACUACAACUGAAGUCCCUCAAAGCUUCACACAGGGAAACUGAGGCUUCUCCUGGAUAGCAGCAUAAAAACUGGGCCAGUUUAACACAUCUGCUUUCAGUUAACCUCAUAGAAGCUGGGGAGACAGAUCUGGGACAGGUGUGGCCAUCCUUCUGGGCCAGGUUUAACAGAGCAAAGGUUUCUCCUAGACCCAGAGAACAUCGGUUCAGCCUCUAGUGGGGCCUCCCAAAGCUGACCCCAUCUGGGAAGUGCCCUGUGUGUACAGCUGGCUUCCUGCCUCCUUGCUGUAGAAGAGGCUGGCCUUCUGACCUUCCAGGCUGUUUGUUGUGUUUCUAAACAAUGCUUACGGUCCUGCUUCCUCUCCAGUGAGUCUGUUGCCUCUCAGUGCUGCUGUCAAGAUCGGGGCAAGAUGUUUCAUGUUUCGUCCUGCUCUUGCCUGAGUUUUCUACUACAGUACUUAUCUAUAUAUUAUUCAUGUCUAUCUAUAUACCAAUACAUAGAUAUAUCUAUAUAAUAAGAUUAUAUUAACUAGAUAGAUGACUUAAUGAUUACAUUAACAAAUAACUAGAAACGUGACUUGAGAAGGUUAAGUAGAGGGUUUAAGAUGUUUUAACAGCAAGACACUAACUCCCCUUGCUAGCCCUUUACUUGUCACCAAACAGAUCAGUUCCAUCUUAUGGUUAUAAAAUGGCCUACCUCAGCCUAUAAGAAGAGCAGGGGGCAUAUCUCGCUUCAUGGAUAUUAACGUUAGGGGCUUGUUGUUGUCAUGCAAAAGCACAGCUCUCACCUCAAAGGGGAUACAGACAUAGUUUAUUCUGGAGCCAAAUAUGAGGCCCAGGUAACCAUGGCCCAGGAACACAGAAUCAGGUUACCCCAAAUUCCAUCUUCCAGUGUGGAAAGCAGCAUAUAACAUAGAACACCAUAAAUCAAAGUAAAUUUCAACUACAUUGGUGGAAAUAUUCCUCCAUUUUCAGAACCAGCAGCAGUCAGAUCUCUCUCUCUCUCUCUCUCUCUCUCUCUCUCUCUCUCUGGACAAAAGCUGAGGAGGAUUUCUGUAGGACUGAGGGUGGCCAUGUGACUGUGAUCCCAUACUGAGGGAGAAUGGGAGAGAACCCUGGUGGGACAGAGGAGACAUUCUAAGUUCUAAAGAGAGACACUUGUGUCCCACUGUAUAGAGAAUGGAGCCAGCAGAGCUGACCUGGAGGCUGACAAAAGGCCUCAAAGCCAAAUCUGUGUAUUGGGUAGGAGUCAACUAUAAGCUGGUCAUAUAAAAAGGAAUAAAGGGAGGACAUAGUUUAAUUAAGGACCAGUAAAAAGGACAAGGGGGAGAAAAUGAACGAACAGAGAGUCAGCAUGUGACUAUGCCUGUGAUUGGGUAAAAAAAAAAUCACAUGGUAUGUCCCUGGUUGGACCAACAGGGUGUACAAGGAAUGUGGGAGCCCACAGACAUACCC